GAUGAACGCUAGCGGCAGGCUUAAUACAUGCAAGUCGAGGGGCAGCAAGGGUAGCAAUACCUGUUGGCGACCGGCAAACGGGUGCGGAACACGUACAGAACCUUCCUUUAAGCGGGGGAGUAGCCCGGACGAAAUACCGGAUUAAUACCCACUAGUAAUGUUUAAUGGCAUCAUUAGAUAUUUAAAGUAUUUAUCACUUAGAGAUGGCUGUGCGGC
RNAcentral lists this ribosomal RNA (216 nucleotides) under uncultured bacterium. RNAcentral's name for it is "partial 16S ribosomal RNA". It matches the Rfam family "Bacterial small subunit ribosomal RNA", at positions 28 to 237 of the family's 1533-position model. The record is from RNAcentral.